GCUGUAUUAGCUCAUCUAGUAGAGCGCGCGCCUUGUAAGCGUGUGAGAGGGGUGCAAGUCCUCUAUGCAGCUCCA
RNAcentral lists this transfer RNA (75 nucleotides) under Akkermansia muciniphila. Its description in RNAcentral is "tRNA-Thr". It matches the Rfam family "tRNA". From Rfam's summary of the family: Transfer RNA (tRNA) molecules are approximately 80 nucleotides in length. Their secondary structure includes four short double-helical elements and three loops (D, anti-codon, and T loops). The record is from RNAcentral. Lineage: Bacteria; Pseudomonadati; Verrucomicrobiota; Verrucomicrobiia; Verrucomicrobiales; Akkermansiaceae.